AUAUCAAUAAGCGGAGGACAAGAAACUAACAAGGAUUCCCUUAGUAACGGCGAGUGAAACGGGAAGGGCCCAACUUGAAAAUCUCCGUGUUUCACACGGCGAAUUGUAGUCUAAAGAGGUAUUCUCUGCCAGUACGUCUGCCUAAGUUCCCUGGAAAGGGACAUCAAAGAGGGUGAGAAUCCCGUCGGUGGAAUGUUGCUGGCCUCACGAGAUGCUUUCUUCGAGUCGGGUUGUUUGGGAAUGCAGCCCUAAGUAGGUGGUAAAUCCCAUCUAAGGCUAAAUAUUGGCGAGACCGAUAGCGCACAAGUA
Molecule: ribosomal RNA, 309 nt
Filed under: uncultured Ignatius
Lineage: Eukaryota; Viridiplantae; Chlorophyta; Ulvophyceae; Ignatiales
Description: partial large subunit ribosomal RNA
Rfam family: Eukaryotic large subunit ribosomal RNA
Source: RNAcentral